CCUACGGGUGGCAGCAGCGGGGAAUAUUGGGCAAUGGGCGCAAGCCUGCCCCAGCAACGCCGCGUGCAGGAAGAAGGCUUUCGGGUUGUAAACUUCUUUUCUGAGGGACGAAGAAAGUGACGGUACCUCAGGAAUAAGCCACGGCUAACUACGUGCCAGCAGCCGCGGUAAUACGUGGGUGGCAAGCGUUAGACGGAUUUAUUGGGUGUAAAGGGCGUGUAGGCGGAAAAGCAAGUCAGAUGUGAAAACUCAGGGCUCAACCCUGAGCCUGCAUUUGAAACUGUUUAUCUUGAGUGCUGGAGAGGCAAUCGGAAUGCCGUGUGUAGCGGUGAAAUGCGUAGAUAUACGGAGGAACACCAGUGGCGAAGGCGGAUUGCUGGACAGUAACUGACGCUGAGGCGCGAAAGCGUGGGGAGCAAACAGGAUUAGAUACCCCGGUAGUC
Molecule: ribosomal RNA, 443 nt
Filed under: uncultured bacterium
Lineage: Bacteria
Description: partial 16S ribosomal RNA
Rfam family: Bacterial small subunit ribosomal RNA
Source: RNAcentral